RNAcentral lists this ribosomal RNA (483 nucleotides) under uncultured bacterium. RNAcentral describes it as "bacterial SSU rRNA". It matches the Rfam family "Bacterial small subunit ribosomal RNA", at positions 28 to 507 of the family's 1533-position model. The record is from RNAcentral.
GAUGAACGCUAGCGGCAGGCUUAACACAUGCAAGUCGAGGGGCAACACGGGUAGCAAUACCUGGUGGCGACCGGCGCAAGGGUGCGUAACGCGUGAGCAACAUGCCCUAUACAGGGGGAUAAUCCAGGGAAACUUGGUCUAAUAUCCCAUAGUAUUUAGAGGUGGCAUCACCACUAAAUUAAAGCUUCGGUGGUAUAGGAUUGGCUCGCGUGACAUUAGCUGGAUGGUGGGGUAACGGCUCACCAUGGCGAUGAUGUCUAGGGGUUCUGAGAGGAAGACCCCCCACACUGGGACUGAGACACGGCCCAGACUCCUACGGGAGGCAGCAGUGAGGAAUAUUGGACAAUGGAUGGAAAUCUGAUCCAGCCAUGCCGCGUGCAGGAAGACGGCCCUAUGGGUUGUAAACUGCUUUUAAUGGGAGCAAUAAGGUUUACGCGUAGACCGAUGAGAGUACCAUAUGAAUAAGCAUCGGCUAACUCCGUG